UUGCUUACUUCAGCAGCACAUAUACUAAAAUUGGACCAAUAUAGAGAAGAUUAGCAUGGUCCCUGCACAAGGAUGACAGACAAAUUUGUGAAUAUUCACAGACCAAU
RNAcentral lists this small nuclear RNA (107 nucleotides) under Zalophus californianus (California sea lion). The record is from RNAcentral. Lineage: Eukaryota; Metazoa; Chordata; Mammalia; Carnivora; Otariidae. RNAcentral also lists the same sequence under 1 other name.